Nemania sp. FL0031 is the source of this 102-nucleotide non-coding RNA. The record is from the annotation of a GenBank genome assembly. NCBI's taxonomy places the organism in Eukaryota, Fungi, Ascomycota, Sordariomycetes, Xylariales, Xylariaceae.
GGCUCAGUGGUCUAGUGGUAUGAUUCCUGCUUCGGGUCGCUCCCUUCCAUUAAUUGUACAUGGGAAUGCAGGAGGCCCCGGGUUCGAAUCCCGGCUGAGCCC